RNAcentral lists this ribosomal RNA (408 nucleotides) under Cyphastrea ocellina. RNAcentral's name for it is "partial 16S ribosomal RNA". It matches the Rfam family "Bacterial large subunit ribosomal RNA", at positions 1872 to 2475 of the family's 2925-position model. The record is from RNAcentral. Lineage: Eukaryota; Metazoa; Cnidaria; Anthozoa; Scleractinia; Merulinidae.
GGAUCUAAAAAAGUUUGUUUUGCUUAUUAAUAAAGACAGCUAAAUGGCCGCGGUAACACUAACUGUGAAAAUGUAGCGUAAUCAAUUGUUAAUUAAUUGUUGACCGGUAUGAAUGGUGUCACGAAAGUUUCUCUGUCUUAAAAAAAUACUUAAUGAAAUUGAAUUUGUAGUGAAGAUGCUACAUUAAAAUUGUAAGACGAGAAGUCCCCAUGGAGCUUUACUGAGGGCUUAGAUUUUAUAUAAGCGGGACAGUUUUGUUGGGGCGACAGUUUUUUAAAAAGUAACAAAAACGAACUAUGGCGAAGCUUCACCCUGAAAAAUUUUUUAAGGGACAUUUUUGGUGUGUUUUAUGAUCCGUUGUUUGGAAUGAAAAAAACAACGAAAACAAAUAAAAGUUACCCUGGGGAU